GACAACCCUUCCUCUCUGUGCCCCAGGAGGGAGUUUUGCAGCAGAUGUGGGGGACGUUGCGUUGGCGUUGGCACCGAGGUCAUUCUGCAUGCUCGAUGCACUCCCACUGCAAAAGGAAGAGCUGUGUUGCUGUUUAUGCUUCACUGUUGGAUGACUCUCUAAGAACUGAAGAGGAGCAAUCAGGCUUAAAGCUCAACCCUUUGGAUGCUAUUGGCUGCCCAUCAGCACUGCAAAUUUUGGGUACUCUAGGUACCCAAACAGAAAGAUACUGGGAGUACCUCUGA
RNAcentral lists this long non-coding RNA (284 nucleotides) under Numida meleagris (helmeted guineafowl). RNAcentral describes it as "lncRNA (ENSNMEG00000013325.1)". Lineage: Eukaryota; Metazoa; Chordata; Aves; Galliformes; Numididae. The record is from RNAcentral.